UCCCUGAUAGCUGAGUUGGUAAAGAAUCCGCCUGCAAUGCAGAAGACCCCAGAUUGAUUCCUGGGCGGGGAA
Molecule: non-coding RNA, 72 nt
Organism: Bos taurus (domestic cattle)
Lineage: Eukaryota; Metazoa; Chordata; Mammalia; Artiodactyla; Bovidae
Source: Rfam